RNAcentral lists this ribosomal RNA (194 nucleotides) under uncultured bacterium. RNAcentral describes it as "partial 16S ribosomal RNA". It matches the Rfam family "Bacterial small subunit ribosomal RNA", at positions 338 to 524 of the family's 1533-position model. RNAcentral also lists the same sequence under 1 other name. The record is from RNAcentral.
CCUACGGGAGGCAGCAGUAGGGAAUCUUCCGCAAUGGACGAAAGUCUGACGGAGCAACGCCGCGUGAGUGAUGAAGGUUUUCGGAUCGUAAAACUCUGUUGUUAGGGAAGAACAAGUACGAGAGUAACUGCUCGUACCUUGACGGUACCUAACCAGAAAGCCACGGCUAACUACGUGCCAGCAGCCGCGGUAAU